UACGUAGGGGGCAAGCGUUGUCCGGAAUCAUUGGGCGUAAAGAGCGUGUAGGCGGCCCGAUAAGUCCGCCGUGAAAGUCCAGGGCUCAACCCUGGAAUGCCGGUGGAAACUGUCGGGCUGGAGUCCGGAAGAGGCGAGUGGAAUUCCUGGUGUAGCGGUGAAAUGCGCAGAUAUCAGGAGGAACACCGAUGGCGAAGGCAGUGAUCUGGGCCGGUACUGACGCUGAGGAGCGAAAGCGUGGGUAGCAAACAGG
Molecule: ribosomal RNA, 253 nt
Filed under: uncultured bacterium
Lineage: Bacteria
Description: partial 16S ribosomal RNA
Rfam family: Bacterial small subunit ribosomal RNA
Source: RNAcentral